AGAGUUUGUACUCCUGGCUCAGGACGAACGCUGGCGGCGUGCUUAACACAUGCAAGUCGAACGGAGCACCCUGAAGGAGUUUUCGGACAACGGAUGGGAAUGCUUAGUGGCGGACUGGUGAGUAACGCGUGAGGAACCUGCCUUCCAGAGGGGGACAACAGUUGGAAACGACUGCUAAUACCGCAUGAUGCAUUGAAGUCGCAUGGCUUUGAUGUCAAAGAUUUAUCGCUGGAAGAUGGCCUCGCGUCUGAUUAGCUAGUUGGUGAGGUAACGGCCCACCAAGGCGACGAUCAGUAGCCGGACUGAGAGGUUGGCCGGCCACAUUGGGACUGAGAUACGGCCCAGACUCCUACGGGAGGCAGCAGUGGGGAAUAUUGGGCAAUGGACGCAAGUCUGACCCGGCAACGCCGCGUGAAGGAAGAAGGCUUUCGGGUUGUAAACUUCUUUUAAGGGGGAAGAGUAGAAGACGGUACCCCUUGAAUAAGCCACGGCUAACUACGUG
Molecule: ribosomal RNA, 502 nt
Filed under: uncultured Oscillibacter sp.
Lineage: Bacteria; Bacillati; Bacillota; Clostridia; Eubacteriales; Oscillospiraceae
Description: bacterial SSU rRNA
Rfam family: Bacterial small subunit ribosomal RNA
Source: RNAcentral